This 279-nucleotide long non-coding RNA is filed under the name Manihot esculenta (cassava). RNAcentral's name for it is "long non-coding RNA (MESC_LNC005543)". The record is from RNAcentral. Lineage: Eukaryota; Viridiplantae; Streptophyta; Magnoliopsida; Malpighiales; Euphorbiaceae.
UAGGAACUUGUAUGUUUGCUUGUGUAUGUUUGGGAAUGUUGUAGAAUAGGUUUAUGCAUGUUUGGAUGAGAUUGGAGGCACAAAUGCAUAAGGGAGCUGAGUUUCUGCCAUUCUGGGAGAAACCAGGUUCGGCAGCCGAAGGAACUUUCGGCCGCCGAACGUGCUUGUGGAGGCAGCCUUCGGCUGCCGAAGCUUGCCCCCGAAAGGAGACUUUCGUCUCUGUCUGGGACUUUCGGCCGCCGAAAGUGCCGCCGAACAUGCAUGAGUUUCACCUCUGUC